CCAAUAGCGUAUAUUAAAGUUGUUGCAGUUAAAAAGCUCGUAGUUGAAUUUCGGGAUCAAUUCGUCGGUCGUGCUUUUUGGUACGUACUGGCGUUAUUGGUUUCUCCUUUCUGACGAGCCAUGAUGUCAUUAAUUUGGUGUUAUGGGGAGUUAGGACUGCUACUUUGAAAAAAUUAGAGUGUUUAAAGCAGGCAUUAGCUUGAAUACAUUAGCAUGGAAUAAUGAAAUAGGACGUUCGAUCCUAUUUUGUUGGUUUCUAGGAUCAACGUAAUGAUUAAUAGGGAUAGUUGGGGGCAUUAGUAUUCAAUUGUCAGAGGUGAAAUUCUUGGAUUUAUUGAAGACUAACUACUGCGAAAGCAUUUGCCAAGGAUGUUUUCAUUAAUCAAGAACGAAAGUUAGGGGAUCGAAGACGAUCAGAUACCGUCGUAGUCUUAACCAUAAACUAUGCCGACUAGGGAUCGGAUGAUGUUAAUUUUUUAAUGACUCAUUCGGCGCCUUACG
This 501-nucleotide ribosomal RNA is filed under the name uncultured Glomeromycotina. RNAcentral's name for it is "partial small subunit ribosomal RNA". It matches the Rfam family "Eukaryotic small subunit ribosomal RNA", at positions 591 to 1092 of the family's 1831-position model. The record is from RNAcentral. Lineage: Eukaryota; Fungi; Glomeromycota.